Molecule: non-coding RNA, 942 nt
Organism: Salvia hispanica
Lineage: Eukaryota; Viridiplantae; Streptophyta; Magnoliopsida; Lamiales; Lamiaceae
Source: RefSeq, a predicted model, not a curated record
CUAUACGUGUACAUCAUAUAAAAACGUGUACACAAUAUUGACUAUUUCAUGAAAAGCAUGAAAAAUUAUCACGGCCAAUAAGUCGGUUAAAUAUAUAUAUAUAUAUAUAUAUAUAUAUAUUGUAUAGAAUUAUGUCUCAUAAAGAUUGCAAGAGAAAGGAGAGAGGGGUAAAAAAAAGAACGAGAAUUGUAGAAAAAAAAUAUAUAGGAAUCUGGCUUCAAGAGGCAAAAAGGUGAGGAUCGAUAAUUAAAUAUGGAAAACAGAAUCAAAAGUGCAGUUAGAUUAUCUUUCGUAUCCAGAGAUUCUUGGAGUUGGUGAUUAUGUAAUUGUGAGAACAAUUCGCCCUAAUUCAGAUAGAGAUUUCCUUGAAUUAUUGGCGAUAUAUUGUCCCGCAGUGUUAACCCUACUCUAAGCUGGCAGUUGUAGAUGGUUUAAGUCGUCCUUAACCAAAUCCUUGUCCACUUCAAGAAACUCUGGGAUUGCAAAUCGUGCGGAUUGGUUCAUUACCGGGUCAACCCGAUAACAACCCAACCCAAUAAGGCCAACCCCAAACCCAACCUGUUAAGGAAACUCCAAACCCGAACAUGAAUCCGACUUGCCACCUUCAAACCCGAACACAACCCGAACAUGACCUAGACACGACCCGAACACGAUAGCGACACGAACCACUUUGGGUUGACCCGACACGAUAACAACAGGAUAUCAACCUGAACACGAUAACGAAACAAACCACUUUGGGUUGACCCGACACGAUAACAACACUACAACAACCUAAACACGAUAAUGACGCAAACUACUUUGGGUUGACCCAGUAGUAAUGACACGAAUAUGGCUGGCAAAUCGUGCGUGUUGUGUCGUUAUCGUGUCGACACAAUAACGACACAACACGAUAACAUGAACACGACCCGCUACCCUCAGACACGAACACGACACGAACCACUU